This is a non-coding RNA of Rattus norvegicus (Norway rat), 11213 nucleotides long. The record is from RefSeq and is a predicted model, not a curated record. NCBI's taxonomy places the organism in Eukaryota, Metazoa, Chordata, Mammalia, Rodentia, Muridae.
UUCUUUUGAUUGUAUUUUUAAUUAGCUUUCAAACUAGUUGGGUUUCAUAAGAUUUCUUCAUACAUCCUGAGUUUUGCUUAGCCUUUCUCCAAUUCCUCCUUUCCUCCAGAAAAAGUGUUCUACUUGUAGGAAAUGCACACUAAAGUACUCUGAUUGCACUGAACCCUGGACUGUACAUUACGAUCCUCAGCUGCCUGCCGUCCUCCUAAGAGAAGGCUCUCGGCAUCCACUUGUCUUGGGGAGUGGGAGGGCUACAGAUGGAGAAUCCUGCUUUACCUGAGGUUCUACACUCUGCCCAGAGCAGUCCACAGUUUACAGCUCCUGUUCUGUGGAGUAGAGACCGGGAACUGUCAGCCACCUCAGGACAAUAAAGCAGGGUUAUCCCAGAACUUCCCACGAGUCAGCUGAGGCUUCUCUUCAGACAAGACUAAAACUUCACUGCUUCCCCUGCUGAGCCUGGCCUCCUUUCCCUCCUAAGGUAAGGACUGCAGCAGCAGCGCCCAACAUACUUCUUGCCUGUUUAUCUUUGCCUCACAGACUGCUUCCCAAGGAACUGUAACCUAUAACUGAGAUAACAGAACUUUAUCCAAAGGGAAAGAAAUGUUUAUUAAACAAUACUCAGAAGUCUAUAAAUAUGAGAUUGUACCAAAAAUUUCUAAGUAAUCAAAAAUGAGUGCAGAAAGCACACGAGGAGAACAGCAUUUUAAAAAGCAGAUGAAAAAGGUCUGUGCCUUGAGGCAUGUUCGCUGAGGAAAUACUUCAUUGGAGAGUAUGUUCUAGACAACAAUAGGAAAUAAAAGGAAAUGAGCAAAAAGUAAUCCAGCCAUGCACCGCUUAAUAGGGACGCAUCUGAGAAAAGCGGUAUCAGGAGAUUUGAGUUGUGCAAACACCAGGGAUGCUGUCGGCAGGCUAUUUCCUAUUUCAGAACCACCAUGGUAUAUGCAGUUCAUCAGUGCAAUGGUCUGACUGUAGUCUGACUGUCCUCUAUGGGUGCACUGUGCCCACAGUAGACAGAACUUUACAAGGCUUUGAAUGGUUCCUUGGUCAUUGGGAAUAUGCCCUAAAAGGGAUUAUGGAAACCUAUGAGACACAGGGUCCGUCAGUCUCUCACUCACACCCUCCCUGCACUGCCCCUGACUUUCUGUCUAGAGAUCACACCUCUUGCACCUCUUCUGGUCCACUACUGGCUCUCACAAUCCUAUGCUGAGGUCUGCACUGUGAAGGGAGGGUAGCCAAGAGGCGACUGUAGAGCUUGAACAGCCAAGCUGUUUAGACUCCACCCAAACCUCUGAGCUAAGCUUUAUCUUUUGGUAGCAUUAGCUGUCUCAGGCUCUCACUACAGCAAUACAAAUCCGACAUGGGCACAGCAUGCUUCUGAGGCACAAGUUACACAAUGUUCAUUUCUCAAACAUAUCAAACAUAAAAAAAUAUUAACAGGUACCUGUUUUCUAAUGUCUUUACAAAGCAAGCCCCUCUGAAGCAGAGAAAAAUACUCUAGGAUAAUAUUUUUAAUAUAAGAUCAUUCAUACAUCCAAGUAUAAAUUUCUACCAUUUUGCAGAAUGCUCCACAUCUUAUACCAUCAUUAUCACAUUUGGUUUCACUCUCAAUUCAAAUGUACCUGUCUGCAUAGUUUCAAUUCUCUACUGGAAAACAAAUGAAUAAAAAGCUCUAACCUUUGUUAUUUAAUGUAUAAGUCCUGAACCUUUAACAUGGAAAUCCCUUAGGAAGUAUGAUGUUUUUAGACUUCCUGAGGUAGAAUCUUCAUUUAUACCACAUUUCCUCGGGAUGUGUGUGUAGUACGCAUUGUUAAACCAAGUCUACUUCCCACUGAAAUACAGAGAGCUCCAAAGAGUAUCAUUCGCCUUUAUAAUAAAAUACUUCCAAAGUCAAUUCAAAUCCAAAGCUCCUUUCAGGCUCUACGAGAACAGUAGUCACAGGGCAAGCAACUGGAACCUCAUCAAGAGCCUGCGAGGGCAGAGGAGACAGCACAGUUGUUUACCUGGGAAGCAUGCAGCCUUACACCAUGAAGAGCCCAGCUAGAGCACAUGAAGAGCAAGGAGAGGCAGCGAGAAGGCUGACAGGAGUACAGAGACAAGCUUAGACCGGGUGCUUCUGCCUGAGUCUUCUUGAAGAUUUCUACCCCGAGUUAUAUGAAACGAACCCACAGCGUCUCUGGCAGUGCUCACCCAGAUGGGUAGUGCCUUGGUUCUGACUGCCACUCAAGAGCAACAGACAUGGCUUGGAAGACCUUGGCUCAAAUUCAGGACUAUCUAUGAACUGCAGUGUUUCUGCUACCCACAGAAAGGGUCCUGCUCUUAAAAGAACAGAAUGGUUUAACUACAGAAAACAAAGACAGUAUUUUAGUUCUCCAUCCCUCAGCAUCUUUUUAUUUAUCAAAUUAGUAUGUCUCUAGAUUACAUUGUUAGAGUGCUUAAUUUUUCAAAACUGUCAUUUUUAAGUGGCUUGAUUUCCAUUACCAAAACUGAAUUUCCAACAAUUUCUGACAUGGCCCUAAACACACUUCUGCUAUUUUGUACUAUGUGUUUAUUUAUAUGGAGCCAUAUUCAUGACAGCAAUGGUUAUACAAUCAAAAUAUAAUCAACCUUGAAUAAGACGCUCUGUGCAGAAGCAAAUAUUCAGCCAAGAUUUAGCCUCUACCUAAAAUAAGGAGCAUGUCUAUUCAGUAGUGUGAACGUUAGUUUGUAUAACUACGUCAUAUACCUAUAUCCCCAAGAACCUAUAAAGACUUCUCAGGCAGAAAAAGGGAAUCAUAGCAGGUAAAUAUUUUUUUUCUUUUUUCUUUUUUUUUUUUUCUCUUUUCUUUUUUUCGGAGCUGGGGACCGAACCCAGGGCCUUGCGCUUGCUAGGCAAGCGCCCUACCACUGAGCUAAAUCCCCAACCCCCACAGCAGGUAAAUAUUAAAGAACAUUUAUGCUACAAAACUAAGAUUUAUAUUUCUUGACCCCGAUGCUGCAAGUAAUAUGACCACUGUGUAAACAUAAGAGAUAUUUUUAAUAACAAAUAUGUUUGCCCACUAUAGUGUAGAAAUGAUUUUGAUGGGGGCAUGGGAGAUAGGAAAGAGGAGAGAUCUGUAGAAAAGUCCCUUGGCCCUCUGUUAGUCCCUGCCCCCCCUUUAAAUGUAUGUGUAUGAGUGUUUUGCCUGUUCUAUGUGUAUUUGUGCACCAUGUGGAUGCACUACCCACAGAGGCCACAAGAAGGUGCUGUACCCUGAGACCUGCACUAUAGACCAUUGCGAGCAACUAUGUGGGUGCUGGCUCUGGAACAGCACUCAGUGUGCAGCGCACUAACUCCUGAGCUGGCCCUUCUUAAGUAUUUUCAUUGAAAAAGUUUAACACUGACUACUUAAUUUUUCUGCACUUUGCAAUGACACUGUAGAAAAGUAAAAUAAAAUGGUUGCAGGAAAACAGGAAAAUCACAAUGACAGCAACACUAGACAAGAUGUCAGGCUGUGACAGAAACAGGACUCAAAACCCAGCUACCCCUGAAAUGCUAGCUUUGGUCACUGCCAUCCUUAGACCACAAGCACCUGGAACUCUGAAGGAAUGUGCAAGGCACACAAGGCACAGUGCCAAUGGCUGAUGAUGUGAAAUCAAGAUGUUAAUGGAUUCUGGUCUUAUGAGCACUUCCAUUCUGCUAACACAUUCUUGUAUCCUCCACAGCAACAAGCCCAUGUUCCAGUUCAGCAUGUAAGUUCCCUUCUUCCCUGUCUUCCUAGGGACACGGACCCAGAGCUAUCCGAAUUCACAUCUCCCAGCCAUAAGACCACCUGAGCCCCCCCAAUGUACUUUUAUAGUUUGAACUUACCACAGCUGACAAUUUAUCUAAAUACAAACUAGAAUUCCCUCACUUUAUCUACAUAUGGUACAAAUGUAAAUGCUGGCAACUUCCACUUUGCCUGCAAGCUUCUCACAAAGAACAGACCCUACCUGCUAAAUGGCCCACACAUUUUCUACACAAUGCUGCCAAAAAGAAUGCGAUUUGUUUACAUAUAAAAUUUAAGGUUUUCAUCAUGAAAAAUUUGAAUUAUUUUCCGGUUUUCUUCAAACCUGUAGAAAGCACAGAGUAGUUUUCUGAGAUUACAGCAAUGGAAGAUAACCCUCUAAACAUGUGCCUACAAGGUCACUUUUGUUGUUGGCAACUGGAAAAAAAUCGUGUUUAAAUAUCAUCCUGCUGUGAAACCAUGUUUCAAAAUAUAUAGCAUGAGAAGAAUGCUAUUUUCAAAUUUGCAAAUAAAUUGAGGGUCAGCAAGAUGUAGAGACAGAGAAAGCAGAGCUAUAUGAGCACAUAGAUUGGGAAUCCUGACUGUGAUGAACAAGAAUUCUACUCAGGAAACACCUGUGGAAAUUAGCAUAUUAAUUAAUGAAUUAACAUGAGCACAGAGAUCAGGUAAGAUCUAGCACCAUAGCUCCUUUCCAUACUCCAAGUUCCCUUCACGGAGAUAAACCCUUCCUUAUCUAUAUUUCCUUUUCAGCCAACUAAAUCUUGCUACUCCCCACAUGGCUAUCAGAAACUGCUUCUGACAAAGACACUGCUCCUUUUUGUUCUCGAAGCCAAAGGACCCCACCCAAGCGCCCCUCUCACUAUCUGAAUUGCCAGAUCACUCUCUCUUUUGAAAUGCUCUCUUUGUUACUUAGCAUCCAAAACAUAUCACUAUGAUUUUCCAUCUCUCUCUAGAUAUUCAUCACCAUCUAAUCCUGGUUUUAAUUCUUCACCCGUCCGGCAAGCAUUGGUGUUUCUCAGAGGAACCUUCUAGGACAAUGGUCAUCAACCUGCGGGUCAUGACCCCUUUGAGGGUUGCAUAUCAGAUAUCCUGAAUAUCAGAUAUUUACAUUACGGUUCAUAACAAUAGCAAAAUUAAACUCAAAGUCACAGCAAAAUCAUUUUAUGGUUGGGGUCAGCACAACAUGAGGAACUACAUUAAAGGGUCGAAGCAUUAGGAAGGUUGAAAACCACUGUUCUAGGAGCUUCUUCUUUUACUCUACUCACUCUGCCUGCUUCUGUUAUUACCUAUGUGAGUAGGAUGCUCAAGCUCGAAUAUUUCCCUGGAACACCAGUGUCCCGACACCCUACUAACUACUGAAUAAUUAUCUCACAAGAAUCCAAUAUACAUACAGAAAGCUAUGAAUGAACUCAAAUACUACUUCCCUUACUUUUCCAAACUUUUACACAAUCUUAUUGACUAUUAUGCACUUUGAGAUCUCCUACUGACAAAGCAAUGAUGCCAUGUUUACUUUUCUAUAUUGAAUACAUAUUUGUGCAAAAAUACAGAAGACAGACUAGGAGAUGUUACCAGAUGGGUAUAUUACCAGCUGGAUUCGGUACUGCAGGCCUACAAUGUUACCAAAUGAGUGUGGUACAGUAGGUCCACAAUGUUACCAAAUGAGUGUGGCACAAAAGGACUUCAAUGUUACCAAAUGAGUGUGGUACAAUAGGACUACAAUGAUGUUACCUCCUGGAUAUGGUACUGCAGGCCUAUAAUAACAGCAGCACUUAGGAGGCAGGAUGAUAGUAAGUUUGAAGCAAUCCUACCUCAAAAAUGCAAGCAAACAAACACACACACAAAAAAAAGAUGAUACUGGUAUAUUUGUCUCUGGUUUUGUUUUGUUCCCCACCCCCACCCCCCACCCCCGUUAGCUAUCUGGAUAUUCCUGUCAAUACAAAGUUUAAAAAAAAAAAGUAAAAAUUGAAGUUUUAAAGCUAGACAAAGCUGAGUUAUAACUCAAAUAUGACAAGCAGCUUCAACAUCUUGGGCAAAGUAGCCUUAGCCUCUGUUUCUUACUCUAUAAAAUGUAGCAUCUUCCAAGAGUUGUAAACAAGAGAAGUACAUGGAGAGUCAACUCGGUGUGUGCAGCAUCUCUCAAGCACCCAAAACCUACAAAGCAGCUGUGACAAUGCACUUACACUGCAAAAAGGCAGCAACAGCACACGGCUAAACUCCAAAGUUACUCACUUUCAAAUUACAGAUUUUUUUAAUAUGCUAAAUAGUUUAUCCUAAACUCAGAAGGAAAGCAGAAAAUCUGGACUAAGCCAAGAACACCAUUCUAACUUAAAUUUCUCUGCAACUUGGAGAUCCAUAAAAAGUAAUCCUGCACAGAACUACAUUUCUGGUAUUUAGAACAAUGAUAAUCCAACCACAACCCAGAUACUUGCAAGAAAGAGUUUCACUGAAAAGGCAGAGGCCAGAUAUAUAACCAUGUGAUGGAUGUCUGCAGCUGUCUGAAAAGGGGAUUGGUCCUUGAAGUGUCUGUCGCGAUGAAACAACCUUCUGGGAGUGAAGUGAAAGUUUUGUUUUAUGAGUAAAAGAAAAAUAAGUUAUAAGCACUGUGGAAGAGUAACAAAUGGCAGAGUCGCAUGCCUUAGAAACAGUGGCAGAGAGGCCAAGAAGCACCCUCCUCAGAGGAGGAAAGAGCCACCAGGAAGAGAGCAGAGUUGAAUGUGUAAGCAUUCCAGAGGGAGAUGGAGAGCAGGCUAAGCCCAACAUACCUCACUCUCACUGUGACAGUCUACAGAGAUGCCACCUAAAACAGCUGUGUUCUGCCAGCAUUUGGUGUAAAGACUAGUAAGUCUACAAACAGAAGUAGCCUCGGAGAAAAUCACUGUACCAAAAUACAGUACAGAAGGAUGGUGGCACUUGAUGGAAGGUACAUUAUAAGCAUACUCACAUCUUCUCUAAGACAGAGAAGGAAAUACGACAUCAAAGGCAAGCAGAAUAAACGUUUCAUAGUUUCCUGUGAAACAUUAAUCAGAUUAAGGUGAUUUUCAACAUGUAACUGCUUGUUACAUGAUUGUGUGCCUUAACUGAAAGAAGACAUGAAGCAAUAAGGCGAAGACAAGACUGGAGUCCUGUAAAGCUACAUACUAAUUAAUUCAACCGACUUGAGCAAGAAGCUAAUAAAAUCUGCACGCAGGGAUUUGGUCUCUAUUUGUUCCAGUGAUUUUAUAAGCAGGCAUGCCACAGGAAAGCAGACAAGAAUCUGAUUAUACAAACAUCAUUAUUUUUAGAAAAAUUAAAUCUCUUCUACUAAUGAUUUAAUAUCAGGUCAUACCCAACAUUCAAGAUCACCCAGUUUCUUUCGGUUCCAGCUAACCUUCUUCAUGAGCCUAUAAAUGACUUACUUCACACUAUUCCAACUUUCCCACCCACAAUUUUUUUAUUAAAAAUUUGCUUGCCCCAACUGCUGUCUAAAAAAGAAGAAGAAGAAGUGUCUAUUGGAUGGAAGACGGUAAAUUACACCAGAGCAAUAUUUGACUUAUUUAAAAGCUGUAUUUUCUUUGCUCUGUUUAGAAUUUAGUUAAGUGAAGAAACAACACAACGGAGGAAAACAGUUACUGGUAAAGUUCAGACAGAUGAUAGGCUAGAUAGGUCAGGAAUUAUCUUCUGUCCUUAUCAAGACACAAACACAUGGAAAACAGUGAGGUGGGCAGAGUGGUGGAGUGAAAGCAUGUGGCUAGCAGCAAGCACUGCAGAUGAGAGGACAGACAGGCAGAUGAGACAGGCAGAUGAGAGGACAGACAGGCCCGAACAGCUAAAGAAACAAUGUCAACAUUUCAUGUAAGCCAUGUCUCUCAGCCAGGAGAUUUUGAUAAGCCUCUCUCUGUGAGGUUUCACAUUCUCAACCAUCCAAGAAACAUGUAGCUACAGUUAGAGACAUUUUUGGCCAACACAACUAGGAAAGCGUGCAAGGGUGCCACAGUCAAUGGUAGGUACAGGAUAGAAAUGCUGUUAUAGGCUAUGAGGGGACAGCCCCCACAGCAAACAAUUUCCCAGCCCCAAAUGCCAACACUUAGAAAGUAAAAAAAUCCUGGUAAGGACGGAGGAAUGCUGUACAUCUCGGUGUCUAAAGAAUCACUGUGCUGGCAUCUGAUGGGGGAACAAAUGUUCCAGAUGGGGCCCUGUAACCUUAUAAAAACUAACAUAAUGAUCUGCAAAACCUUCAACAGAAACAUUAAUAUAUAGAUUAAAGGAACUACAACUAUUCUACAUGGUCACUCACAUAAAACGCUAGCUCAUGAUUUCUCUUUCCUUGAAUCUAGAAUAGCCCUAGUGACUUAAUCUCUUGAUCAAUAGCAGGCAGCAAAGAUGACAGUGUGGGCUUCCAAGAUUAGGUCAUAACAAGUUUGUAGGAAGCUGGAUCCAGGACCUCAGAGUUGUCCACAGCUAUCCUCUACCCUUUGAAUAUGCUAUCUAUAUAGCAAAAUGACUUCACAAAUGUGAUUUAAGAUUUUGAGAGCUAUCAUCCUGAAUUCUCAUUGGGUCCUAAACAUCACAAGCUUUGUACAGUGGUGUGUGCCAUAAGGUUUUCCCAGGGCAUGAUUACUGCUCAUGAAAACUAAAUGUAGUCACAAGAGUCCCUACAAGGGGGACGCAAAAAGGUCAAGGGAAAGAAGAUAAUGCAACAACUGAAGCGGAGAUUCAAGUGAUGAGGCUAAGAGCCAAGGAAUGCUAAAAACUGGAAGAAGCAAGGAACAGAUUCUCCCCUGAGACUCCAGAAGGACAAGGUCUGUUGACAAGCACCUUUAAGACUCAUUUUGGACCCUGAGUUGCAAACUCUACAAGAGUGUGUUGUUCUAAGCACCAAGUGGGUACUAAACUUGUUACAGCAGCAAUAGGAAACUGAUACAAAGUUUUACAGCUUCUCCCACCCCCCUUGGAACAUUUUUUUCUAGGAACUCUGACCUAUUACCUAAAUAUUACAGCCAUUCUGAAAUGUCACAGACACUGUUGCUGAGGAAACCUGUAUCUGCCUGGGUCAGCAGUUCUAGCUGGGCCCAGACCCCUGUGAGUAAACCCUUCUUGGACUCUCCGGCUGAGCCCAGUUUGGGCUAGCCCUCUGUGAUGGUUUGUAUAUCCUCAGCCCAGGGAGUGACAGGGUUAGAAGGUGUGGCCUUGUUGGAGUAUCCAUAUCACUGCGGUUGUGGAUAUGGGAUUAAGACUGAAAGUCAGGGGCUGGGGAUUUAGCUCAGUGGUAGAGCGCUUACCUAGGAAGCGCAAGGCCCUGGGUUCAGUCCCCAGCUCCGGAAAAAAAAAAAAAAAAAAAGACUGAAAGUCAGUCUUCUCCUAGCAGCCUUCAGAUGAAGACUAGAACUCUCAGCUCCUCCGGCAUCAUGCCUGCCUGAUGCUGCCAUGCUCCCGCCUUGAUAAUAAUGAACUGAACCUCUGAACCUGUAAGCCAGCCCCAAUUAAAUGCUGUCCUUAUAAGAGUUGCCUUGGACAUAGUGUCUGUUCACAGCAGUAAAACCCUAACUAAGACACCCUCCUUUUAUUCCACUUUUAUUAUCCCAACUGAGGCACUGAAAUGUCUUUAUUCAUGUGUCUUAAUUGGCAUAGGAAAUGCUUUUCUCUUUGAGCAAAAGUUGAGCUCAUCCAAAUCCAUCCCAAAGGCUAAGAGGUAGGCACAACUGUUUCUUUCUCAUAUAGUCCUGAGGAACAGACUGUAAAGAAUAGGGGAAAAGUUUUUGAAGGUACAUGAUCCCUAGUAAUGUGAUCUCCGUGACAAAACUUGUUCAUGUGUAAGCACUCUAUAGUGUCCAACCCAAUAGCUGCCAGACUUUCAUUUUGUCUAAUACCCUUUAGGCUACUUGCCAAGUACUCCAAACAGAGUGCUUUAUCCUACCUUUAAAAACAGCCGCAAAGGGGGAAGGAGUGAAGACUUACACUUUAGAAUUAUAAAAGUAAUAUGGAGUACAUCAGUAACAAAAACAAAUUUUAAAAGUACAUAGUUACUGUUUAUACAGAGAAACAAAAAAGAGGAAAGCUAAUGAGCCUGCUGCUAACAGAAAAACUGCACUGUUCACCUGGAAAUGAUCUUUUUUCUUUCUUUUUUUUCUUUUUAAAGUGUGAACACAGUCCCUUACUACCACAAACUAUACAGUCAAAGUUUGCCCCACAUGGGGACACCAGAGGAGUCAGCCAGCCCUGACUGCCAUAGACGAGCCUCACCUUAGGGAAAGCCAUGAUCAUGUUAUCACCUCUGCCAGGUAACUAGCACUUUGAUAUAUCUUAUUUGCAAUAUGUAAAUUUUUAAGUUUUGAAUAUAUAUGACAAUAAUAUUCCCUAAGAAGCUUUUUUUCAAAUCUCAUCUCUUAUGAUAUCUCUGCCAGAACCAGCUCUUGUCUUACAUAACUCUACAGUAACUGUUCACUAAACCUUAGUAAGUACGGCAACCAGUCUCCAGCAUGACCUCAGCGGCUUCCGAUCUCUGAUGCAACAGUCACAUCCCGUGUUGGAACCUCCUACUAGAAUUCUGUCUUGAAAGCUCUCAGUCCUGUAGAAAGGCCCAUAUGACAAAGAACUGACACCACCAGCCAACAGCGAUGUGAGUGAGUCAAGCCAGGAAUGAAUCCUCUAACCCCAGCCAAGACCUCAGAGAGCCAAAAGCUUGACUUCAAUAUCAUGAGAGACUACGGAUAAGAAAUACCCAAAUGAGUAGCUCCAGGAUUUGGGAACAUUAGAAACUGUGAGGUUCUGUGUUUCUGUAUGUUUGAUAUAACUUGUUUCAAUGUAACAGGUAACAACUAAUACAGUGACUACUGCCUUGUUUCAAAAGCAAAGUGUACUUUUAAAGGCUUUAAAAAUAAUAAUAAACAGAAAUGUUAGUUACAAAAAUGAGGAAGAAGGAUUCUGCUUUGAAAAUCGUGGCUAAUGUUCACAGGCAAUUGUACCAACAUCAGCUCCUCAGCUCUACUUGUGACAGGGCCAACCCUACUGUCAAUGAACGCCUCCCACCUCUGGAAGAGAAAACAAGUUGUGCAGGUAAGAGUACAACAUAAACUGUCUUCAGAUUGGAAAGGAAAAAUCAGUGUGUCAUUUUUAAAUCGAAAUGACCCAACUCACUAAGAUAAGAUAUCCCACAAGGUCGGUCUCAUCUGUUAUAAACUGAUUCUAGAGUGAUAUCUUGUCACAAAUUAUACCACAGGCCUACUGAUAGACACAUAAGAAAGAUAAGGACUGAGUGACAAAUUUCAGCAGAUCGUAUGACCCAUCUCAAAGCAGAGAUGAUUUUUUUCUUUAUGUAAUGUUUUAUCAAAGCCAGGAUGACCUCGGCACCUUUUCAAGGACACUCAGGCUUCCUAUAAUAAGAAACAGUCCACGUCAAUUCCUCUGUCUCCUGUGUGGGAUACGUAUCGACCCGGGAUCCCACUAAUAGGGAUCUCGUUAAUAAAGUUAAAAAAAAAAAAAAAGAAAAAGAAA